Non-coding RNA from Anas platyrhynchos (mallard), 1954 nucleotides. The record is from RefSeq and is a predicted model, not a curated record. Lineage: Eukaryota; Metazoa; Chordata; Aves; Anseriformes; Anatidae.
GGAAACUGUGGAGAUCAAUAAUGCAGUGAAUGCUAAAUGUAACAAGUGGGAGACCCAGCAGAAGGAAAGUGAGUUAAAGCAUUGGUAAGACUAAGAGGGAGAAGGAAGAGCCUAUGGCUCUCCAGGUGGCUGUGUUUCCAGCAGCUUCCCAGAUUUAACACCCUACUGCUGUGAGUACCUCUAGCUUCUCUAGUUAAACAAGUCAGAGUAUGUCAUAACAGACCAAUGUCCUUCCUGAUGGACUAUUUGGUAGAAAUACCUCAGUGUGGACCUUGUCUAGUGCGGUCAGGUAUAGGUGAGCACCAGCAUUCAGUACUGAGCUCAAAUGCCUUGCUGACUCAGAUGUGACGCUGAGACUCGCAUCCCUCAAAGCACCAGGAUUCUUCAGAGGUGUGCUGUCAUGCAGAGGGCACUGGACCCAGUUCCACCAGCCUUCCCAAAAUCUGAUGGGGGAAUAAAGAUUGAGAAAGGGUUUCUGUAUUUUGAAUUUUUAAAAGAGGCCUCUAGACCACUAUUGCUCCUUUGUCACUUUGAAAGGACCCUGGGACAUCCCUUCUGACCUCGCAGAUGAUACAGAUUCCCUUUCCAUGGGCUCCCUGUCCCCACGAUCCUGGCAGUUCUUGCUCAGGGGGCUGAGGAUCGUGCUUCUGGCUGAGGCAGGUGAUGAUCCCCCACCCAGAAUGGUCUGAGGCCCAAGGGGAGCUAAAAACAUCAAGCCUGGAGAUGUGACUGAGAUCUCCACCUAAACCAGGGCUGAGAAACGGUGGCACCACCAUGUACACCUCUUCAAGCAAAAAAGUAAAUAAAUAAAAAUCCAUUAGUGUGCAUAUUAAAUACAUUGUUUUUGGUUUUCUGCCUCACAGUUGACCUUUGUCUUAAGUAAAAUACUGUUCUGUGCAAACUUUCAGUAAAACUGAAACUUCAGUUUCUCCUCCCAUGGUAUAGACUCUAGGUCUUACUUUCCAGAAUUCAUUAUUCUUUCUUCAAGAAAGAACAUCUUUAUUUUCAACAUUUUGUGUGCUUGAAGUAGCUGAAAUUUUCAUGUAAUGUUUGGGAGCAACAGUAGCUAUGCACUUUUUAAAAAUCUCUUUUGACGGUCUCCAUAAGCUUUCUAAUAUACUUUGAAAUUAUUUUGGAUUCUCUGUGUUUCCAACAAAUCAAAGCCAAUACAGAUCAUAUGUUGUAUUAAGCACUUGAUCUCCCCCCAAAAAUUCAGCUACUUUUUCCUCAAUGGCCUGUCCAAACAAUGAAUUAGUUUCUUCAUUAACUGGAUAACAAAGGCCAGUCACAACAUAUGUUUUCUUUCUUUUGAAGUGCUCUCUUAAAAAUUCAGCUUACAUUCAGAUGUUUACCCGUUUAAAAAAUAGUUUCCUCUGAGAGAAAUGUAUCUAGGGAAUUUUAAAAUGUUUUAUCAUUGCUGUAAAUUUAGUAACACAUAGAAGCAGGAACACCAGUAAAAUUUGAAAAUUAAGGGAACUUGAACAGUAGUAUGUUCUGUGUAUAAUGCUUCCUCAUUCCCUGAAGUGUAUCUUUUUAAAAAGUGCUUUGAAUAAUGGCCAUAGUUACGGAUAAAUGUUAGUGAAAGCACAUACUAAAAUUCUGAUCGAAAGAGUCAAACUUCUAAUUGCACAGAAACAUGCAGAAAUUUGUAAAGGAAUUAGAGGAACAAUGUUUAAAAUGUAGUUAUGAGAAUUCAGACUCAUAGACAUGAAUACUCUUAAUUUUCACAGAGCUGUUUGUCUAAUGAAGAGGGAGGCUUUAAAAAUAGCACAAUAUAUAUUUUUAAUAUUAACUGUUGUCUAAGAAUUAAAAGUGCUGUAAAAGGUGUAGUGCCAGAAUCAAAAUGCUUUAAGUAAUCAGCCUGUUGUCAAAGGAAUGUUUUGUGAUGUUCUGCAACCCUAAGACAAUAAAGUUGUAACAGUUGUGAAACUAUUUUUUGACUGGUUUAGGUCAA